UGAUAGAGCUUCAACCCAAUAGAUAAAAGAUUAAAAAAAUAGAUUAAGAAAACUUGAAAGAAGAUUGAAAGAAGAAGGUUUAGAGGAGAAGAAAAUACAGAUUAGAAGAGGAGAGAGCCACUUUCUUACUAUUUCCAAUUUCUAACAAAGGGUUCAAUUUAUAAGCCCAAGAACUAGCUGUUUGGGCUCCAACGUUAAAAAAUAUUAAGCAUGUAAUAAGUAGGCAAC
RNAcentral lists this long non-coding RNA (228 nucleotides) under Elaeis guineensis (African oil palm). Its description in RNAcentral is "long non-coding RNA (EGUI_LNC015606)". Lineage: Eukaryota; Viridiplantae; Streptophyta; Magnoliopsida; Arecales; Arecaceae. The record is from RNAcentral.